Molecule: long non-coding RNA, 1259 nt
Organism: Haplochromis burtoni (Burton's mouthbrooder)
Lineage: Eukaryota; Metazoa; Chordata; Actinopteri; Cichliformes; Cichlidae
Exons: 2
Source: RefSeq, a predicted model, not a curated record
UACAUUACUAGUUACUUCUAUCAAAAGUAACUCCAUUACUUCAAGUUACUCGUUACUUUCAGAGUAACUAGUUACAACCCAGAUAGCAAGGAAACAUUGAAACAAUGUUGAGUCAAUAUCAGGCUGUGUCAUUGAAUCAACGUUGAAGUGUGACGUUGACCUAACGUCACUCUUGCACCCUUUUUUAACGUUGAAACAACGUCAGGUUUUGAUGUUGAAUCAAUGUUGAAACCUGACGUUGAUUCAACGUUAUAUUUUCUAAUACUGUUGACAUUGAAACAAUGUCAGAUUCUGAUAUUGAAACACUGUUGAGCUAUGGUGUUGAUUUUCCACCUCUUUCGCACAGUUGCUUUUUAUUAAAACAACAGUUAAAUCAUGACUGGAAAUCUACCUUUCUUUAUAGGUAUUUUAACCAAUACUAAACUACUGCAUGUUUCCAUCAAUACUUCAACCACCUAAACACAUAAUUGUACUUAUUCCUUAAAUUGGACACCCUUUAUAAAAAAAACCCAAAUGUCUCACAAUGUAUCAUGUCAAUAUUAAUAUCCUAAAAUAAGAAAAACGGUCAUAAGUAAUUACAAAUGUGCUUUUGGAAUAUUUUUUCCUAAAGUUACAGUUUGAUUUAUAACAACACACACAGGAAGUGAAGUGCACAAGUGUACACGGCUUUGCAUUUAUAAAAAGUUUACAAGCUUCCACUUUUUGGACUAUAUUAUGUGGUGAUAUUGCAGAUAAACAGGAAACAGAUAAUUACAAUAUAUUUCAUAGUCACUACAAAACUUGAUCUAUUGAUUGAACUAAAUAAUAAAUAAUAGCUUAAAAUGUAUAUAGGCAACAAUUACAAGCAAACCCGUAUAUGUAAGCAUUUAAACACUGAAGAUAAUAAAAUUAACAGUAUUUUGUCUAAGUCUGCCAUUGUAGGAAUUCAUGGCACCGAGACAAAAACUUGGCGCACAGUGUGGCGUCAAAAUAGGCGCACACCUUUGACGCUGCGUUUUCUCCGUCUUCCUCGUCCACACGUAAAUGCUAAACGCAGUUUACGUGUGGACAAAAGGUGCAAACGCAAGUUAGGUGAGCGUGCAGCGUAAAGUUUGAAUUGAGUGCGAAUCGAAGCGGGUGCUCUCCAAUCAUUAAAAGUAACAAAGUCAUUGAACACAUUUAUACAGUUACCUUUACGUUUAUCAAUCAUAUAUCACAGAUUUACAAUUUUUUGUAGUACUAUGCUAAAAAGCAACUACAGAGCGAAAGUCUGGGUCAAG